RNAcentral lists this long non-coding RNA (1113 nucleotides) under Salmo trutta (river trout). RNAcentral describes it as "lncRNA (ENSSTUG00000005155.1)". Lineage: Eukaryota; Metazoa; Chordata; Actinopteri; Salmoniformes; Salmonidae. The record is from RNAcentral.
GUUUGUUUCUCUACCAAUGAGCCGCCUCCAAUCUCGUUUUAGAGAAUUUGGCAGUACAUUCAACCGACCUCACAAUCGCAGACCGUGUGUAAGGCGUCGUGAAGGGCGAGCAGUUGUUGAUGUCAACGUUGUGAACAGAGGGCCCCAUGGUGGCGGUGGGGUUAUAGUAUGGGCCCCAUGGUGGCGGUGGGGUUAUAGUAUGGGCCCCAUGGUGGAGGUGGGGUUAUGGUAUGGGCCCCAUGGUGGAGGUGGGGUUAUGGUAUGGGCCCCAUGGUGGCGGUGGGGUUAUGGUAUGGGCCCCAUGGUGGCGGUGGGGUUAUGGUAUGGGCCCCAUGGUGGAGGUGGGGUUAUGGUAUGGGCCCCAUGGUGGAGGUGGGGUUAUGGUAUGGGCCCCAUGGUGGAGGUGGGGUUAUGGUAUGGGCCUCCUGGUGGCGGUGGGGUUAUGGUAUGGGCCCCAUGGUGGCGGUGGGGUUAUGGUAUGGGCCCCCUGGUGGAGGUGGGGUUAUGGUAUGGGCCCCAUGGUGGAGGUGGGGUUAUGGUAUGGGCCCCAUGGUGGCGGUGGGGUUAUGGUAUGGGCCCCAUGGUGGAGGUGGGGUUAUGGUAUGGGCCCCAUGGUGGAGGUGGGGUUAUGGUAUGGGCCCCAUGGUGGAGGUGGGGUUAUGGUAUGGGUCUCAUGGUGGCGGUGGGGUUAUGGUAUGGGCCCCAUGGUGGCGGUGGGGUUAUGGUAUGGGCCCCAUGGUGGCGGUGGGGUUAUGGUAUGGGCCCCAUGGUAGAGGUGGGGUUAUGGUAUGGGCCCCAUGGUGGAGGUGGGGUUAUGGUAUGGGCCCCAUGGUGGCGGUGGGGUUAUGGUAUGGGCCCCAUGGUGUAGGUGGGGUUAUGGUAUGGGCCCCAUGGUGGAGGUGGGGUUAUGGUAUGGGCCCCAUGGUGGCGGUAGGUGGGGUUAUGGUAUGGGCCCCAUGGUGGCGGUGUGGUUAUGGUAUGGGCCCCAUGGUGGAGGUGUGGUUAUGGUAUGGGCCCCAUGGUGGAGGUGGGGUUAUGGUAUGGGCCCCAUGGUGGAGGUGGGGUUAUGGUAUGGGCCCCAUGGUGGAGGUGGGGUUAUGGUAUGGGGCCCAU